This 597-nucleotide ribosomal RNA is filed under the name uncultured archaeon. Its description in RNAcentral is "bacterial SSU rRNA". It matches the Rfam family "Archaeal small subunit ribosomal RNA", at positions 7 to 609 of the family's 1478-position model. The record is from RNAcentral.
GUUGAUCUGCCGGACCUGACUGCUAUCGGAUGUACUAAGCCAUGCGAGUCGUUGUACAAUACAAGGCGGACUGCUCAGUAACACGGUUAGUUGACUUAACCUAUGGAUGGGAAUAACCUCGGGAAACUGAGAAUAAUGCCCAAUAGACCACAGUGCCUGGAAUGGCUGUGGUUGAAANUGAAUUUAUCGCCGUAGGAUAGGACUGCGGCCUAUCAGCUGGUUGGUGAGGUAAUGGCCCACCAAGGCUAUAACAGGUACGGGCUCUGAGAGGAGGGGCCCGGAGAUGGGUACUGAGACACGGACCCAGGCCCUAUGGGGCGCAGCAGGCGAGAAACCUUUGCAAUGUGCGAAAGCACGACAAGGGUUAAUCCGAGUGUCUCCUGCUAAAGGAGUCUUUUGUCAGUUGUAGAAUCACUGGUGAAUAAGGGGUGGGCAAGUUCUGGUGUCAGCCGCCGCGGUAAAACCAGCACCUCGGAGUGGUCAGGAGGUUUAUUGGGCCUAAAGCAUCCGUAGCCGGUUGCAUAAGUUUUCGGUUAAAUCUAUGCGCUUAACGUAUAGGCCGCCGAAAAUACUGUGCAGCUAGGGAGUGGGAGAGGU